Durio zibethinus is the source of this 716-nucleotide non-coding RNA. Lineage: Eukaryota; Viridiplantae; Streptophyta; Magnoliopsida; Malvales; Malvaceae. The record is from RefSeq and is a predicted model, not a curated record.
AUUGCCCAAGUCGUUCCUCCGGUGCUGUUACUUUGAAGAAAUUAGAGUGCUCAAAGCAGGCCUAUGCUUGUAUACAUUAGCAUGGGAUAACAUCAUAGGAUUUUAGUCCUAUUGUGCUGGCCUUUGGGAUCGGAGUAAUUAUUAACAGGGACAGUCGGGGGCAUUCGUAUUUCAUAGUCAGAGGUGAAAUUGUUAGAUUUAUGAAAGAUGAACAAUUGCGAAAGCAGUUGCCAAGGAUGUUUUCAUUAAUCAAGAACAAAAGUUAGGGGCUCGAAGACGAUCAGAUACUGUCCUAGUCUCAACCAUAAAUGAUGCUGACUAGGGAUCGGUGGAUGUUAGUUUUAGGACUCCGUCGACACCUUAUGAGAAAUCAAAGUCUUUGGGUUCCGGGGGGAGUAUGGUCGCAAGGAGAAAACUUAAAGGAAUUGACGGAAGGGCACCACCAGGAGUGGAGCUUGCGACUUAAUUUGACUCAACACGGGGAAACUUACCAGGUCCAGACAUAGUAAGGAUUGAUAGACUGAGAACUCUUUCUUGAUUCUAUGGGUGGUGGUGCAUGUCCGUUCUUAGUUGGUGGAGCAAUUUGUCUGGUUAAUUCCGUUAACGAAUGAGUCCUCAGCCUGCUAACUAGCUACGUGGAGGUGAUCCUUCGUGGCUAGCUUCUUAGAGGGACUAUGGCCGCUUAGGCCAAGGAAGUUUGAGAUCGGAAGAGCCCA